This 623-nucleotide long non-coding RNA is filed under the name Gouania willdenowi (blunt-snouted clingfish). RNAcentral's name for it is "lncRNA (ENSGWIG00000015003.1)". The record is from RNAcentral. Lineage: Eukaryota; Metazoa; Chordata; Actinopteri; Blenniiformes; Gobiesocidae.
CGUUAGCCUAAGUGAUGCUUUGCUCAGCGGUGAGAGUCACAGUGAGUUUGGUACCACAAACCUCUCUAACAACAUCAUCAUUUUUCAACUGAUAAAGACGACAAACAUGCAAAGUAUCCAGAAUCCUCGAUCCUGACGGUUGCAUCGUAUUCGAUUCCCAAAAACCAAACUGCUUCACCUGCAUGGGAACUCCUAAUGAUGCGGCGGUUGCUAUAGUAACGAGAGGGAUACCUGAGUUGGCUGCUGGCUGUGUGCCAGGAGCUAAACCGUCUCCAUGCUGAGAGUAAAACCUGUAGAAGCAUCGAUAUCAUGCCGAGGAAAGCUGAUGUGAUCAAAGUGGAGGAGGUUGGGAUUGAGGUAGAAGGAGAUGUCAGUGACAUGGACGAUGGCGAUAACAAGAAGAAAAAAACGAAUGGCAGAGGAGCUCCAGGAAAAGGAGGAGGAAGGGCAAGAGGCCGAAGAACAUCACCAGUCAGUGAGGAUGAGGACGAUGAGGAAGAUACACCACCAAGACCUCGAAGGGCAGGAGAACGUAGGAGGGCAGCCAGGAAAGAGGGAGACGAAGAUGAAGACGACAACAAGGCUUCCAAGAAGAAGAGAGGAGGAGCGGCCAAUAGGAGGAG